This is a long non-coding RNA of Zonotrichia albicollis (white-throated sparrow), 1774 nucleotides long. Lineage: Eukaryota; Metazoa; Chordata; Aves; Passeriformes; Passerellidae. The record is from Ensembl.
GACAUCUGGCAGCAGCUGUGGUCAGGGAGCACACAGAGCCCCUGGCUGGGAGCUGUUGGCUCUGUCCCCUCCAUCCCAGAUUGCAGAUAAUACAUCAUAAGAAUAAAAUCUAACAAAGGAGGUCAUGAUAUGUAGGAUUAUGAAGAGAAUGAGGAAAGCACAGGUAAAGGGACAGAGAGCAGAGCCAGCCUUGGUAAGGAGACUGAACCAGAGAGGAGAUGCCAUGUCAGCAGUGCAUGGAGCACCACAAGGAAGCACUCUGUUCCCAACCUGCUCCUGGAGCCAUGGGAGAAGCUGUUCCCCAGCCCUCGGUGUGUGAUGGAUGCUCUCGGGAGGCUGCAGUGAGAUACAGCACCCCUGAGGCUGAGAAAACUGCCAGGUAAAGCUGAGGAGUUCAGGAAACAGGAUAUCCAUCCAUUCUAUGGAAUGGACCACAAAGGAGAAACUGCCUUGCAUUAAAUCAGCUGCUGGUUUUCUGAAGAGGAAGAAGCAGCAGAGGGACUGAAGUACUGCUGUAAUAGUGGAGAUUUCUUUGAAAUCCAUCUGUUGCUGCUCAGGGGAAAAUCCAGAGUGCUGCAUUCUGCAAGAGCAAAUCAAGUUGUUUUCUGAGAGAGGGGGUGAAAGGGAUGCCUGGAUUUCAAAGUUUUUUCCUACUGAGCAAAACCUGUGAUGGUUCUUGUGUCUCACCUACUCCUGCUGGCCAAAGGGAGUUUGUUCCUCCAGGUGACCAAUGCAGGACUGGAACUCAGAUAUUGCUUUGCAAUGCCUGCAGAGACCACCACAUUUUCUGAAACUCCCCAUUUACAACUCCCUAGUUAAAAUUAGCUAUAUGCUAAUUCGUCCUUUAAAAAUUAGCAGCUCCGUGCAAAUUGAAAACAGAUGUCUGUGUCUCCAGUCAGUGCUAGUUAGUUGAGGCACUCCUUCCUCACACAACCUGCUGCUCCUUGUCCCCAGAGCCACAGCCCCAGUGCCUCACACACACCUCUGGAGCUUGCCAGUGAUCAUUUCUGGCAUUUUAUUAUUGUUUUCUUUAGUGAGGUGCCAGACUCUGGGGAUUUGAAAUGCUGGGCCUGAAGCCAAUCCUCUGGGCUUUUUGAAAUUUGCUUGUAAGCAGUGUAAACCUCAGGCCACUGCUGUGGCCAGGUGACAGAUUCUGCCUCUUGGCUGGGAGCAGCUCUCAGUGGAUGUGUUGCUGGGACAGAGCGUGCAUGUAAAUGGAGCUGCUGGCAGUGAGGAUGAGCACUGACACUGCCUGAAAAUGCUUGAUGCUGUGGGGUCAGUGAUGCAGGCAGAACCAACUUUUCCUGAGUUAUUUCAUCACUGAAAGUCCACACUUUCAGCCUGCACACUUUUAAUUCUUUAUUAAAGUGCUGCACUGGUUUUAAGUGGGACAUUUGAAAUGGCUUUACAAAGGUCCUUGCUGAGCAGUACCUGCAGUGCUGCUUCGUUACUGCCCAUAACACCCCAGUGAAUCUCAGUACCUGCAGAAAAAUGACAACAAUUCUCCUUUGCAGAGUGUCGGCUGCAAGGGGGGAAAAGCAAGCUUAGUGGAAAUAUAAAUAAUAGAUUCUAAUAGUCACAGCUGUUCAUAAAUAAGAAGAUCUAUACAAACACAGUCUAGUGGAACAGGCACAUUUCUCUCCAAGACUGACUUGCUGCAUGAUUUUGAAGGAAACACUUUGUCACUUUUUGGCUCAGCUUCCAAAUAUGAAAUAUACACUGAUAGGAUUCUUGCCACCCAAUGUAAAUAAAAUGCUUUGAGAACAUGAAUACA